GAUGAACGCUGGCGGCGUGCCUAAUACAUGCAAGUCGAGCGAACAGACGAGGAGCUUGCUCCUCUGACGUUAGCGGCGGACGGGUGAGUAACACGUGGAUAACCUACCUAUAAGACUGGGAUAACUUCGGGAAACCGGAGCUAAUACCGGAUAAUAUAUUGAACCGCAUGGUUCAAUAGUGAAAGACGGUUUUGCUGUCACUUAUAGAUGGAUCCGCGCCGCAUUAGCUAGUUGGUAAGGUAACGGCUUACCAAGGCAACGAUGCGUAGCCGACCUGAGAGGGUGAUCGGCCACACUGGAACUGAGACACGGUCCAGACUCCUACGGGAGGCAGCAGUAGGGAAUCUUCCGCAAUGGGCGAAAGCCUGACGGAGCAACGCCGCGUGAGUGAUGAAGGUCCUCGGAUCGUAAAACUCUGCUAUUAGGGAAGAACAAAUGUGUAAGUAACUAUGCACGUCUUGACGGUACCUAAUCAGAAAGCCACGGCUAACUACGUG
Molecule: ribosomal RNA, 497 nt
Filed under: uncultured bacterium
Lineage: Bacteria
Description: partial 16S ribosomal RNA
Rfam family: Bacterial small subunit ribosomal RNA
Source: RNAcentral